ACCCCUCUGAAAAGAUAUCGGAGGGGCCUAAAGACAAGCUCAUCCAGGUCGGAAAUCUGGAGUAGAGUGUAAGGGCAAAAGCUUGUCUAACUGUUUUUUAAAUAGCACAAAAAGCAGAAUUGAAAGAUGGGCCUAGCGAACCCUUAAAGUCCUUUAAUGAGACUUAAGGAUGACAGAAAAGGUACCCCAAGGAUAACUGGGUUGUCUCUCCCGAUAGUUCAUAUUGACGGGGAGGCUUGCUACACCGCUGUCGGCUCUUCCUAUCCUGGUCGUGCACAAGCGACCAAGGGUGCUGGAGUUCACAUAUUAAAAGGAAUCGUUAGCUGGGUUAAGAUCGUCGUGAGACAGAUUGUAUGAUAUCUAUUUGGUGUGUUGUUGUUUGAGUGGAAGGAUUCAGUAGUACGAGAGGAACCUGAAUCCGAUGCCUCUGGUGUAACAGUUGUCAUGUGGCAUGCUGUGCAGCUACGCAUUAUACGGAUAAGCGCUGAAAGCAUCUAAGCACGAAGCCGUCCGCAAAACGAAACAACUAAGGCCGCUACAAAAGAUAGCGUUGAUAGAGUUGAAAUGUAAGUUUUAAGGCAACGAGAAAUUCAGUUUGCAACUACUAAAAGCCUCAAUUUAAUUUU
Molecule: ribosomal RNA, 626 nt
Filed under: Candidatus Levyibacteriota bacterium
Lineage: Bacteria; Candidatus Levyibacteriota
Description: partial 23S ribosomal RNA
Rfam family: Archaeal large subunit ribosomal RNA
Source: RNAcentral